CCCUGGUUAGCUCAGUUGGUAGAGCACUCCACCUGUAAUGGAGAGGUCCCGGGUUCGAUACCCGGACCAGGCG
Molecule: non-coding RNA, 73 nt
Organism: Ixodes scapularis (black-legged tick)
Lineage: Eukaryota; Metazoa; Arthropoda; Arachnida; Ixodida; Ixodidae
Source: Rfam